This 301-nucleotide ribosomal RNA is filed under the name uncultured bacterium. RNAcentral's name for it is "partial 16S ribosomal RNA". It matches the Rfam family "Bacterial small subunit ribosomal RNA", at positions 509 to 808 of the family's 1533-position model. The record is from RNAcentral.
CAGCCGCCGCGGUAAUACGAACCGUGCGAACGUUAUUCGGAAUUACUGGGCUUAAAGCGCGUGUAGGCGGCUGGGCGCGUCGGAUGUUGAAAGCCCCCGGCUCAACCGGGGAAGUGGCACCGAUACGGCCGAGCUGGAGGAAGGUAGGGGGGUCUGAAACUUCCGGUGGAGCGGUGAAAUGCGUAGAUCUCGAGAGGAACACCAAUGGCGAAGGCAGCUUCUUGGUCCAUUCCUGACGUUCGUACACGAAAGCGUGGGGAGCGAACAGGAUUAGAUACCCCGGUAGUCCCUGUCUCUUAUA